Molecule: long non-coding RNA, 1936 nt
Organism: Myiozetetes cayanensis
Lineage: Eukaryota; Metazoa; Chordata; Aves; Passeriformes; Tyrannidae
Exons: 4
Source: RefSeq, a predicted model, not a curated record
GGCAAGGGGAACACGGAGCAGCCGGGAGAGCCGAGAAAGAAGAAAAUUAGUUUCUGAGAAAAGAACACUCUAGAGUGCAGCAAAGCUGGAUGCAAAAGGAAAAGAAAGCUACUUUUUGGGUUACAAAUGCUUGAAAACCAAAGGUUUACAUCACCUGGAGUGUUAACAGAAGGUUGUGGUCCUAAAGAGAGAAUUAAACACAGUGAGCAGGGAGAAGGCCGUCGUCCACUUCUCACUGAAUCCUUCCCCCCACCUUUGGACUUGACCCCAGGCAGCUCCCCGUCAGUGCUCUGGUAAAGCGAGGAAAGAGACACUGCAGUCAGGAGCUGCAAUCCAGCAGCUCACGUGGGGCCACUAUUGUUUCACCAGCCAAGGCUCUGUCUAGGCAGACAUGAAGGAAACCUGUGCAUACUAAUGAAUAAAAAGGUUUGAGGACAUCUGCAGAGAAAAUACUUCCCUCUGGUUUCAACUCAGUGGGUCUUGUCGACAUAAUUCAACUAGAGAAAAAAGACAACUAGCACCAAGUGCUUGCAGAAAUCCUGGGAGAUUUAUUACAAACACCAACUACCUUCAUAUAACAUAUAAACACACACUGCUAAGUGCUUGAGAUAGCCCUAUGCUCAAAGGGUAACUGUUAAAAUAACUUUUAACUUCCUGAAUCUACUGGUCUAGAUAAACAUCUGCUACUGAUGAAGCAGAUGAGACAGGCAAAGGAAAGAUUUGAUUUGCCAUAGAUUAUGAUCCAAGCAACUGAGACAGAAGGAAAAAUGUCUGAAAAUCAGUUGACACAUCAGUUGUGAAUUGUGGCACAGAGAAUUAGACCCCUAGAGAGUGAAACACCUGUGGCAUAAAUGGGUACAGUGGAAUAGCCACUUUUGGAUCACUAUAUAGUCAAUGGGGAGAAACAACACUUUUUUCCUCCUCUUUGUUUUACUUUAAGCUGUUUAACUGAUCUUACCCAUUUUCAACAACUCUUUUUAGAUGUAGGGUGUUAGAUGACUCAUAUCUUUAAGCUGCCUGUUUCCCUCUGCUAAUUGUAAAAUGAGUUUUUGGGGCUAUCUCACAUAGAGUUGCAUCCUGGGCAUUUGACCAGAUGAACAACUCUGUAAAUGCUAUAACUGAUGUCUGUGUCUGAACCCUAAAAAGAGCCUCAGCAGCGCUGUGGUGCCCAACCCUGCAGCUCACACAGCCACAUUGCAGGCACACCACAGCACUCCUCUGCAGUGCUACUAACACUGUCACUUACUGAAACCGAGAGGAUUAGAAAAGAAUAAAGAAAAUCCCUACUGCUUUUUUGCCUUGGGGCAGCAGAGGAACGGACAUGCCAGGAUCACCUUGAGUUAUAGAGUGGCAUCCUAGUCAGUCUCAUGUAUUUAAUCCUUUUGUGCCAGCAGGAAGUCGAAAAGUCUGGCCUGCAAAGAUUUAAUUAUAUACUAGUAAGGCUAAUUAAAAAAAGGAGAUGAGAAAAAAGAAAAAAGUCUUUUUAGAGUUUAUAAAGUCUUACCUACUCUAAACCUAAAAUUUAUUUCCAUGUGACUGAAGGCUUUUCUCUAGCAAGGAAGAGGAAAUAACAUUGAAAUGGGAAAUAAAACUGCAGAUAACAUGCUUUUUAUUUUUGUCUUAUAACCUUGGAGAAAUGGCAGCAAAUAUUUUUGUAUACUGUUUUGCUCUGACUGACACAUUCAUGUUCAAAUUUUAAUGUUGUUAACAGCCGUUCUUACAGUAAAAACAUGGUUUUUUGAAUAAAUUCUGCUUAUGUUAUUUCUUACAGUGUUAAAACUUUGUCAGAUAACUAUGUCAAAUAAAUACGUAUCUGUGAUACAAUAUGAAUGGGAUAGAGUAGAGGUGACUGCAUGGAAAAUGAACUCUGUAGCCUUUCCCUUGCACUGUUUCCUAGUAUGUUUCUCUCAGAUAUUGGUACUGUAAACAUCUGAGA